AGUGAACGCUGGCGGUAGGCCUAACACAUGCAAGUCGAACGGCAGCACAGUAAGAGCUUGCUCUUACGGUUGGCGAGUGGCGGACGGGUGAGGAAUACAUCGGAAUCUACUUUUUCGUGGGGGAUAACGUAGGGAAACUUACGCUAAUACCGCAUACGACCUACGGGUGAAAGCAGGAGAUCUUCGCACCUUGCGCGAUUGAAUGAGCCGAUGUCGGAUUAGCUAGUUGGCGGGGUAAAGGCCCACCAAGGCGACGAUCCGUAGCUGGUCUGAGAGGAUGAUCAGCCACACUGGAACUGAGACACGGUCCAGACUCCUACGGGAGGCAGCAGUGGGGAAUAUUGGACAAUGGGCGCAAGCCUGAUCCAGCCAUACCGCGUGGGUGAAGAAGGCCUUCGGGUUGUAAAGCCCUUUUGUUGGGAAAGAAAAGCAGCAGGUGAAUACCCCGCUGUUCUGACGGUACCCAAAGAAUAAGCACCGGCUAACUUCGUG
This 492-nucleotide ribosomal RNA is filed under the name uncultured bacterium. RNAcentral's name for it is "partial 16S ribosomal RNA". It matches the Rfam family "Bacterial small subunit ribosomal RNA", at positions 29 to 507 of the family's 1533-position model. The record is from RNAcentral.